GACAGAGGGUGCAAACGUUGUUCGGAAUUACUGGGCGUAAAGCGCGUGUAGGCGGCUAAGUAAGUCGGGCGUGAAAUCUCACGGCUCAACCGUGGAAGUGCACUCGAAACUGCAUAGCUAGAGUCCUGGAGAGGAAGGUGGAAUGCUUGGUGUAGAGGUGAAAUUCGUAGAUAUCAAGCGGAACACCGGUGGCGAAGGGCGGCCUUCUGGACAGUGACUGACGCUGAGACGGCGAAAAGCGUGGGGAGCAAACAGG
Molecule: ribosomal RNA, 256 nt
Filed under: uncultured bacterium
Lineage: Bacteria
Description: partial 16S ribosomal RNA
Rfam family: Bacterial small subunit ribosomal RNA
Source: RNAcentral